CUUCUUGGCCCAGGUCACUGCUCAAGGCAUGAAGCUCUGGAGGCAGCACUGGGAACAGAUGCAGCUGCAAUUGCCCAGGCUCCCCUCCACCAAGUUGUGCCGCAGGCCGCUGGGGGCUUCCAAAUCAGGUGCUGGAAUUGGGGACCUGGAGCCUCGCCCCAUCCUGCUGCCAGCGGAAAAAGGGCAGUGCCAGAGAAUGUUGCCCUCACCACUGCCCCAGGCCUAGGUCAGCCUGCUGGGCUACUCCUCAAGGGCAAAGGCCACGUGGGUCAUCAGCCACUGCCACCUGAUAUAAGAAAGGGGGCUGAAAGAAGGCUGCCUGCUGGCAAAGCAACCACAGAGCCAGCCAGCCAGUGGCACCCAGAACUGCAAGAACUUUCUCCAAGCCUGUGUGUCUUCUGUGCAAUGCCUAUGGUAGGUAACAUCAGGCCCCAGCUGAACACUUUGACCCCGAGUGGACAUGAAGCUCCAGGUGAAUACCCAGCACCUACCGUGGACAUCAGGCCCCAUGUGGACAGCAGUCCGCAGGACGAGGGCAGGUGCAUGGGGACAUAUCCCCUCCAGGUGGACAUAAGGCCCGAGCGGACACAAAGGCCCCAGGAAAACAUCAGGCCCCAAGUGGACACUGGACUCAUGGUGGACAUUGGACGUAAGGCACCAGGUUAACACCAGGCCCCAGGUGGACACCAGGUCCCAGAGGGACUCCAGUUCCUGCACGGACAUCAGGCUCCAGGAGGACAUCAGGCUGCAGUUUGGCUGGGAGGCCCCAGGUGGACACCAGGCCCCAGCUAAACAUCAGGCCCCAGGUGAACGCCCAUGCCUCAGGUAAAUACAUCAGGCCCCACGUGGACACAAGGCCCCAGGUACAUACCAGGGCCCAGGUGGAAACCUGGCCCCAGAUGGACAUCAGGCAUGUUGGUGGAACACCAGGCGCCACUUGAACUCCAGGCUCCAAGUGGAUGUCCAGGCCUCAGGUAAGUAUCAGGGCCAAGGUGAAUAGGAGGCCCCAGGUGGACAGCAGGCCCCAGGUGGAUACCUAGGCCCCUGGUGAAUACCAGGCCCCUGGUGAAAAUUAGGCCCCAGAUGGAUAUCGGACCCCAGAUAAAUACACAGUCCCUAUGUAGACAUCAGCUCCAAGUAGACACUAGUCCCCAGAUAGACACAAGGUCCCAGUUGCACAUGGACUCAAGGUGUCCAUCAAGCACCAGGCUCACACCCAGGCCACAGCUGGACACAAAGUCACAGGUGGACAACCAUCCCACAGAGGAUACCAAGGACUCAGGUGGACAUCCAGGCUCGAGGGGAACAGGAGGCCCUAUGUAGGCAGCAGGAACAGGGUGGGUAUCAAACUCCAGGUAAACACUCAGGCUCCAGGAGUACAAUAGGCCCGAAGUGGAUACGAGGCCCCAUGUGAGUAUCAGUCCUUAUAGGAUGGCACGCUCCACCUGGACACCAGGCGUCAAGUAAAUGCCUAGGCCCCUGAUGUGUAUCAGGCCCCAUGGGGACACUCAGACCAGAGCUGGACAUGUGGCCCUAAGUGGACACCCAGGACCCAGGUGGAUACCUAUACCCCAGGUUGACAUGAAGACCCAGGACUCCAGGCUUCAAGGGGCCACCAGGCCCCAGGUGGCUGUGGAGGCCCCAGGUGGACAUCAGGUACCAAGCUGACACCCAGGGCACAGGUGGACACAAGGCCCCAGAGGAUCAACAAGUCCAAGGUGUACAUAGGCCCCAGGGGGACACCAGGUCCCAGGUUAACAACAGUAACCAGGUGGAUACUGUUGUUUCCACCCCAGGUAGAAACCAGGCAGAAAUCAGGCCCCAGUAACACACCAGGCCUUAGGAGGAUACCUUGGAACCUGGUGGACAUCAGGCCCUAGCUGGACACCAAGAUCCAAGUGGACAUUAGGCCCCAAGUGUUCACUGAGGCCCCAGGUAAAUGCCCGGGUCCCAGGCCAAAACCAGGCCCCUGAAGGACACCCAGGCCCCAGGUGGACAUAGAGUCUCAGGUGGACACUUGACUCUAAGUGGACAUCAGGUCCUGGGUGGACACAGGCCCCAGGUGGAUACCUUGGCUCCUGGUGAACAUUCGACCCCAGGUGCACAUCUAGGUCCCAUGUGGACAUCCGGGCCCAGGAAGUCCUCAGGCACCAAGAAACACUCAGGCCCCAGCUGGACAUCUGGUCCCAGGUUGACACCCAGGCCUCAGGUGGACACCAGGUGCUAGGAGAACUUCAGGCCCCUGCUACAAUCAAGCCCAGGGUGGACACCCAGGCCUUAUACCAGGUCCCAGGUUUUACAUUUUAUAAAAAUAGAAAAGUUAGCCGGGCCUUGUGAGGCAUGCCUGAAUCCCAGCUACUCAGGAGGCUGAAGCAGUAGAAUCGCUUGAACCCAGGAGGGGGAGGUUGCAGUGAGUCAAGAUUGUGCCACUGCACUUCAGCCUGGGCGACAGAGGGAGAAUCCAUCUCAAAAAAGAAAAUAAUAUUCUCUGCAUAAUUAAUUUGUAUUUUUGACUGAUAAAGCACACCAGAGUUGAACAUAUUCUUCUUAAUGAGAGUCAUGUUUAAGAAAAACUAGAUUCAAAAUUUGAACCUCAGCAAAUCAAUACCAGUCAUUACUUAGAUAGCAUAAAAAUAAGAAAGAGUGGCCAUAGGUUAUGACAAUAUUUGUGUUUAACUUGUAGAGAAUUUACACGUUUAUUUAAAUUCUAAGGUUAAAAUAUUUUGUGAAUGAUUAAUUUUCUUCUUGUAAAAUCAAUUCAGAAUAUAGUAGUCCUCCUUAUCCGUCGGGGAUACAUUUCAGCAUCUUCAGUGGAUGCCUCAAACCACAGACAGUACUAAAUCCAAUAUAGAUUAUCUUUUUUUCUAUACACACAUGCCCUAUAAUUAACUUUUACCUUUUUACUUAAAAGGAACACUUCACAGCUUCUCUUUGGCAUUUUUGAAUUGCAGCAUCUGUACUUUUGCACUUUGGGGCCAUUCUUAAGUAAAACAAGAGUUCUUUGAACACAAACACUGCAAUAUCUCAAUUGUGGAUCUGAUGACCCAGAGGGUUGCUAAGUGACUAACCAGUGGGUAAGGUAGGCAGGUAGAUGUUGUGGGCAAAGAGAUGAUUCACGUCCUGGGUGGGCCUGAGUAGAGAGGGAUGACAGGAGCUCCCAUUACACUACUCGGAACAGCAUGCAAGUUAAAACUUGUCAAUUGUUUAUCUGUGGAUUUUUCAUUUAAUAUUUUCAGACCAGAAUUACCUGUAGGUAAGUGAAACCACAAAAGCCAAAUGCAGCUUACAUGGUACUACAGUGUUAGAAAGAGAUGUUAACAGAAACGAUCAUGCUGUCACAGCCCCUGGUGUGCUGUUACUCACAUUUUAAAACAAAAUCAUCCAUUAUAAAAGAUAGUCUGUUAAAGUGAGGAGUACAGUGCUACUAUGUUAGAUUGCACGUAUGUUGGAAAAUAUUCUCUGUUAAAAUGCAGCCCUCAAUUUCCAAGCUGUUUUUUCAGUUUUAAAACUGGCUUUUAUUGGCUGGACAUGGUGGCUCACACCUAUAAUCCCAGCACUUUGGGAGACCAAGGCGGAUGGAUCACGACGUCAGGAGUUCAAAACUAGCCUGCCCAACAUGGUGAAACUCUGUCUCUACUAAAAAUACAAAAAAAUUAGCCAGACACUAGCCAGGCAUGGUGGCUCAUGCCUGUAAUCCCAGUACUUUGGGAGGCUGAGGCGGAUGGAUCACGAGGUCAGGAGUUCGAGACCAGCCUGGCCAAUAUGGUGAACCCCCGUCUCUACUGAAAAUACAAAAAUUAGCUGGGCGUAGUGGUGCGUGCCUGUAGUCCCAGCUGCUCAGGAGGCUGAGGCAGGAGAAUUGCUUGAACC
Molecule: long non-coding RNA, 3870 nt
Filed under: Macaca nemestrina (pig-tailed macaque)
Lineage: Eukaryota; Metazoa; Chordata; Mammalia; Primates; Cercopithecidae
Description: lncRNA (ENSMNEG00000046139.1)
Source: RNAcentral